CUGCAUACAAGUGUCUCGAAGAGAGCUAUGAGGCUAAGCAAGAAGACAUCAUCCUAUAUGGUCAAUUGUUGGGAGUGGUCCGUCUUUAGAUCUUGCAGCCCAUUUGCCUCGACUUAGGGCUAUUGUUUUACAUAGUGCUAUCCUAUCAGGCUUAAGAGUCAUGUAUCCUGUGAGGCGUUCAUAUUGGUUUGACAUUUAUAUGGUAACUGUUUGGUUCUUGAACUAUAUGAUUAAUUCAAUUAUAUUUCUUAAUAUUAUUCUUGCUCGCUAUACUUAAACUAAGUGCCUCCUUUUUUAUAUCUACAUGCUUGCCAUUAUAAAAAUGUUGUCAUUUUCCAUAUUUGUGGACGUAACUUUAUGUUGGUGUUGUGCAGAACAUUGAAAAAAUUCCAUUGGUGAAGUGUCCUAUUUUCGUUAUUCAUAUAAGUACAAAUUUGCUCUCUGUGAUUACAUAAAACAAUUAUUCAAUAUUGUUUAUCAUCAUCACUCCAAUAACUUUUAGUAGCAACUUCAUUCUCAUGAGAAAUAUUUGUACCAACCCGUGCCCUACUUCAGUUGGAUCUUUGCACCCGAAUAUGUGUUCAGAUAUAGCUAAUUGAUUUUAGUCAUUAUACUACAUUUCCAUGUUUAUGUGCAAAGCACUGCUUAUGAUGUUGUCGACUGCUCUCACGGGAAACUGUUGAAAAUUGGGCUAUCUCAAAUUUCUUUGGACCGUGUUUUUGCAAAAUAAGUCAGGCCCAAACCUAUUUUAUAAAAACGUGUUUUGUGGAAAAACGUCUUUUGCCCCCUAUGAGGGCUGGGAUGUGCCAUACACGUGGCACAGCCCCAACCCUUGGAUCAAAUUAUUCACUUAAACGGAUAUCUACCUUGGUCCUUUAGUCUUCUGCAGUUGGAACGGUUUAGUUACUCUCUAGAAUUUUCUUGUGUACUCUCUUUCUCUCUCUGUGUGAGGGUUUCUUCUUCUUCUUCGUGUUUUUCAUUCUCUCUGAAAAUCUGAAAUUCUUUGUAUUGUAAUCUUUCAUUCUGUAAAGAAAGGUUGAGUGAUCUGUGUGAUCUUGUUUGAGAGAGAAGUUGUGUGAAAGGAGGCGAGAUAAAACGAAGAAAUCUCUGAUUUCUUCGAAGAGAAAGGUAACUAUUGAUGGAUAUCUCAUUUUCUUGAAUUGUUAAGUAACUUAUUCCUUUCCAAAUAUAUUUGGAUAUAUUGCUUUUUCUUACUUGUAAAGGAAAAAAAAAAUUAUUUUGACAGUCAAGUUAAUCUCAAAAUGAGUUACUUACUCCUCUUCAACUUUGACCAGUAAUUUAGUUGUUUAUUCUAGUACUUACUUAUUUACUUAUAAAAUUAUAAGUUUGGCCUAACAUGCACCAAGUGAUUAUCGCCUUAGAGCACCUUUUGAUAUUAGUUUGCUUGCUCCAAUGCAGACAAGUGAUCACAAUACUUAUGCAGAUAUUGAAGCUGCAUACAAGUGUCUCGAAGAGAGCUAUGAGGCUAAGCAAGAAGACAUCAUCCUAUAUGGUCAAUUGUUGGGAGUGGUCCGUCUUUAGAUCUUGCAGCCCAUUUGCCUCGACUUAGGGCUAUUGUUUUACAUAGUGCUAUCCUAUCAGGCUUAAGAGUCAUGUAUCCUGUGAGGCGUUCAUAUUGGUUUGACAUUUAUAUGGUAACUGUUUGGUUCUUGAACUAUAUGAUUAAUUCAAUUAUAUUUCUUAAUAUUAUUCUUGCUC
Molecule: long non-coding RNA, 1719 nt
Filed under: Olea europaea (common olive)
Lineage: Eukaryota; Viridiplantae; Streptophyta; Magnoliopsida; Lamiales; Oleaceae
Description: long non-coding RNA (OEUR_LNC006887)
Source: RNAcentral